This 253-nucleotide ribosomal RNA is filed under the name uncultured bacterium. RNAcentral's name for it is "partial 16S ribosomal RNA". It matches the Rfam family "Bacterial small subunit ribosomal RNA", at positions 524 to 776 of the family's 1533-position model. The record is from RNAcentral.
UACGUAGGGUGCAAGCGUUGUCCGGAAUUAUUGGGCGUAAAGAGCUCGUAGGCGGCUUGUCACGUCGGAUGUGAAAAUCCAGGGCUCAACCCUGGACCUGCAUUCGAUACGGGCAGGCUAGAAUUCGGUAGGGGAGACUGGAAUUCCUGGUGUAGCGGUGAAAUGCGUAGAUAUCUGGAGGAAUACCGGUGGCGAAGGCGGCAUCCUGGACCGGCAUUGACGCUGAGGAGCGAAAGCUAGGGGAGCAAACGGG